CAGCAAAACCGACGAGGUGGAGCAAAUCUCGAAAAAACGUACUCAGUUCGGAUUGUAGGCUGCAACCCGCCUACAUGAAGUCGGAAUUGCUAGUAAUCGUGGAUCAGCAUGCCACGGUGAAUACGUUCCCGGGCCUUGUACACACCGCCCGUCAAACCAUGAGAGUUGGCAACACCCGAAGCCUGUAGCUUAACCGCAAGGAUGGCGCAGUCGAAGGUGGGGUCGAUGAUUAGGGUUAAGUCGUAACAAGGUAAC
RNAcentral lists this ribosomal RNA (255 nucleotides) under uncultured bacterium. RNAcentral's name for it is "partial 16S ribosomal RNA". It matches the Rfam family "Bacterial small subunit ribosomal RNA", at positions 1247 to 1500 of the family's 1533-position model. The record is from RNAcentral.